This 429-nucleotide ribosomal RNA is filed under the name Gemmatimonadota bacterium. RNAcentral's name for it is "Gemmatimonadetes bacterium partial 16S ribosomal RNA". It matches the Rfam family "Bacterial small subunit ribosomal RNA", at positions 355 to 776 of the family's 1533-position model. The record is from RNAcentral. Lineage: Bacteria; Pseudomonadati; Gemmatimonadota.
UAGGGAAUCUUCGGCAAUGGACGAAAGUCUGACCGAGCAACGCCGCGUGAGUGAAGAAGGUUUUCGGAUCGUAAAACUCUGUUGUUAGAGAAGAACAAGGACGUUAGUAACUGAACGUCCCCUGACGGUAUCUAACCAGAAAGCCACGGCUAACUACGUGCCAGCAGCCGCGGUAAUACGUAGGUGGCAAGCGUUGUCCGGAUUUAUUGGGCGUAAAGCGAGCGCAGGCGGUUUCUUAAGUCUGAUGUGAAAGCCCCCGGCUCAACUGGGGAGGGUCAUUGGAAACUGGGAGACUUGAGUGCAGAAGAGGAGAGUGGAAUUCCAUGUGUAGCGGUGAAAUGCGUAGAUAUAUGGAGGAACACCAGUGGCGAAGGCGGCUCUCUGGUCUGUAACUGACGCUGAGGCUCGAAAGCGUGGGGAGCAAACAGG